RNAcentral lists this ribosomal RNA (444 nucleotides) under Triticum aestivum (bread wheat). RNAcentral's name for it is "partial small subunit ribosomal RNA". Lineage: Eukaryota; Viridiplantae; Streptophyta; Magnoliopsida; Poales; Poaceae. The record is from RNAcentral.
AUGGUAGUGCAAAUCAAAAGCCAGACGCCACUACAACCGGAUUGGACAAACCAUAGGGUCUUCUCACUAUACAGGAAGGAAAAACCUAUGAUCAAAAUCAUACAAGUCAAAUUUCAAGUACAGGAAACAUUGCUAACCUUCUACUCCAUUGAUCAGAGUAUGCAUAUUGCAGUUUACUCCUUUCAAACAAAAGCAGGAGAAUGUCAAAGGAGUAUUACCGUUGGAACUCGGUCACCCUUCUCAUUCUUGAAAAUGAAAAGUUCAUUUAUGGUCAACAUCGUACAAGUUUCAAGUUUACAUGGCAUUACAAGCAUUCCACCGUCGAAAGAAACUAUCCAAUUUGCGGCCAUUCCUCACAAACAGAUACAAACUUAUCCGGAAACACGGAAUUUCCUGUCAUUCUGGGAAGAAACAGAGGCUCUUCCAUUUCUCAAACAAUCAUAA